UUCCCUCUGGGCUUCCACUGCGUCUUGCGCCAGCAACGCGCCCUUGCUGUUUGCUCGGGCUGCUCGGCGUUUUCGCUGGGGCGUUGCCUCCUCCCACCCCUUGCUCGCGUUGUCGUCGUGUCGUGUGAUGCGUGCUCUGCGAGCGGGUUCCGCCCCCGUCCGUCGCUAGCAUGUCGCGGUUUAUUGCCGCGUCGUCUGGCAGCGGUCGGGGGAUGUCGCUGCGCCGUUUGUGCGAGCGAGCGCCGUGUCUCAGCGUUGCUGUGCGUCGGCUGCCUUUUGGUUGUUGCAACUCCGCGCCUGUGGCGACUUUGUAAACUUUAAACU
This 324-nucleotide ribosomal RNA is filed under the name Babesia bigemina. Its description in RNAcentral is "partial small subunit ribosomal RNA". Lineage: Eukaryota; Apicomplexa; Aconoidasida; Piroplasmida; Babesiidae. The record is from RNAcentral.